CCUACGGGAGGCAGCAGUGAGGAAUAUUGGUCAAUGGGCGCAAGCCUGAACCAGCCAAGUCGCGUGAGGGAUGACGGUCCUAUGGAUUGUAAACCUCUUUUGUCGGGGAGCAAGGCCCGCCACGUGUGGCGGGAAGGAGAGUACCCGAAGAAAAAGCAUCGGCUAACUCCGUGCCAGCAGCCGCGGUAAUACGGAGGAUGCGAGCGUUAUCCGGAUUUAUUGGGUUUAAAGGGUGCGUAGGCGGAAGGUUAAGUCAGCGGUCAAAUGUCGGUGCUCAACACCGGCCUGCCGUUGAAACUGGUCGUCUUGAGUGAGCGAGAAGUAUGUGGAAUGCGUGGUGUAGCGGUGAAAUGCAUAGAUAUCACGCAGAACUCCGAUUGCGAAGGCAGCAUACCGGCGCUCAACUGACGCUGAGGCACGAAAGCGUGGGGAUCGAACAGGAUUAGAUACCCCAGUAGUC
Molecule: ribosomal RNA, 460 nt
Filed under: uncultured bacterium
Lineage: Bacteria
Description: partial 16S ribosomal RNA
Rfam family: Bacterial small subunit ribosomal RNA
Source: RNAcentral